Molecule: ribosomal RNA, 424 nt
Filed under: uncultured bacterium
Lineage: Bacteria
Description: partial 16S ribosomal RNA
Rfam family: Bacterial small subunit ribosomal RNA
Source: RNAcentral
AAUUUUGGACAAUGGGGGAAACCCUGACCCAGCCACCCCGCGUGUAUGAUGAAGGCCUUCGGGUUGUAAAGUACUUUUGCCAGAGAAGAAAAGGUACCCCCUAAUCCGGACUACUGCUGACGGCAUCUCCAGAUUAACCCCCGCCUACCUCCUUCCCACCACCCGCGGUAAUACGUAGGGUGCAAGCGUUAAUCGGAAUUCCUGGGCGUAACGCGUGUGUAGGCGGUUCGGAAAGAAAGAUGUGAAAUCCCAGGGCUCAACCUUGGAACUGCAUUUUUAACUGCCGAGCUAGAGUAUGUCAGAGGGGGGUAGAAUUCCACGUGUAGCAGUGAAAUGCGUAGAUAUGUGGAGGAAUACCGAUGGCGAAGGCAGCCCCCUGGGAUAAUACUGACGCUCAGACACGAAAGCGUGGGGAGCAAACAGG